CUACGUGCCAGCAGCCGCGGUAAUACGUAGGUCCCGAGCGUUGUCCGGAUUUAUUGGGCGUAAAGCGAGCGCAGGCGGUUAGAUAAGUCUGAAGUUAAAGGCUGUGGCUUAACCAUAGUACGCUUUGGAAACUGUUUAACUUGAGUGCAAGAGGGGAGAGUGGAAUUCCAUGUGUAGCGGUGAAAUGCGUAGAUAUAUGGAGGAACACCGGUGGCGAAAGCGGCUCUCUGGCUUGUAACUGACGCUGAGGCUCGAAAGCGUGGGGAGCAAACAGGAUUAGAUACCCUGGUAGUCCACGCCGUAAACGAUGAGUGCUAGGUGUUAGACCCUUUCCGGGGUUUGGUGCCGUAGCUAACGCAUUAAGCACUCCGCCUGGGGAGUACGACCGCAAGGUUGAAACUCAAAGGAAUUGACGGGGGCCCGCACAAGCGGAGGAACAUGUGGUUUAAUUCGAUGAUACGCGAGGAACCUUACCCGGGCU
This 481-nucleotide ribosomal RNA is filed under the name uncultured bacterium. RNAcentral describes it as "bacterial SSU rRNA". It matches the Rfam family "Bacterial small subunit ribosomal RNA", at positions 501 to 981 of the family's 1533-position model. The record is from RNAcentral.